CUGGUCGAAAGAGCUAAGAAAAAACAGAGAAAAAGUAUCUAUACCAUGUUAUUGGAGCUUACUAAGGGUCCCGUUAUCAGUUUAUCUCUAAAAUUUAUUUACUUAUUCUACCACCAUUCACUUGGUCUUUUUGCAAGAAAAUACCAAUGUCUUGAGUAUUCCACCACCACACUUAGUCUUUUCGCAAUAAAAUACCAAUGUCUUGUGUAUUAAUCAUAAAGGUUGUUACCUUCUCUCUUUUUUUGAAGUUUACUAAUGUUACAUGUAUAGUAAUAGCAUAAGGUAGAGGCAGACCACAAGCCUUAGUUCUAG
RNAcentral lists this long non-coding RNA (312 nucleotides) under Panax ginseng (ginseng). RNAcentral's name for it is "long non-coding RNA (PGIN_LNC008082)". Lineage: Eukaryota; Viridiplantae; Streptophyta; Magnoliopsida; Apiales; Araliaceae. The record is from RNAcentral.